AUACGUAGGUGACAAGCGUUAUCCGGAUUUACUGGGCGUAAAGGGCGUGUAGGCGGUCUUGCAAGUCAGAAGUGAAAUUCCUGAGCUCAACUCGGGCGCUGCUUCUGAAACUGCAGGACUUGAGUGCUGGAGGGGAUAGCGGAAUUCCUAGUGGAGCGGUAAAAUGCGCAGAUAUUAGGAAGAACACCGGUGGCGAAGGCGGCUAUCUGGACAGUAACUGACGCUGAGGCGCGAAAGUGUGGGGAGCAAACAGGAUUAGAUACCCUGGUAGUCCACACUGUAAACGAUGAAUGCUAGGUGUAGGGGGUGUCGACCCCUUCUGUGCCGCAGUCAACACAAUAAGCAUUCCGCCUGGGGAGUACGGCCGCAAGGUUGAAACUCAAAGGAAUUGGCGGGG
Molecule: ribosomal RNA, 397 nt
Filed under: uncultured bacterium
Lineage: Bacteria
Description: partial 16S ribosomal RNA
Rfam family: Bacterial small subunit ribosomal RNA
Source: RNAcentral